AAAAAGCUUCCGUAGGUGAACCUGCGGAAGGAUCAUUAGAGAGAGAGAACAAAAAAGUGCUUCUGCUUGCUCAGGAGCGCCUCAACAUGGAUUGAAGCAAAAAUAGGUCGGCCUUGGGAACAGCAGCAGCAGCAGCAUCAGCAGCAAGCAACGAAAUUCCCCCACUGCAAAGACGGUCUAGGAGGGAGGAGUGUUGUUGUUGUUGUUAUUGCGGUCCGUCCAGCAGUUCCGGGCCCCGACAUCAGCAGCAGCAGCAGCAGCAGCAGCAGCAUGGCUGCCUGCCUGCCUGCCUGCCUGCCUGCCUGAAUUGACUGAUUGUGGUCAGUAGUGGUGCUACUACUACUGGACAGUGAAAGAGGACUGUGCCUUUUGUCGUUUUCGGACAACAAACGGAGGAAGCCGUUGUUGUUGUCGUGCGGUUGUGGAGGCUGCCGCCGCUGCCUGCCGAAUUUGGCAGCAGCAGCGAAAAGGUGCCUCCUCCUUUACAUCCAAGGUGUUUUAUCGUUUGUAAACCGUGAAUUGCGUCUUCCCUUUUGGGAAGUCUAGAUUACAAAAACCAUAGAAUAACUCUUAACGGGGGAUCACUCGGCUCGUGGGUCGAUGAAGAACGCAGCAAGCU
Molecule: unclassified non-coding RNA, 619 nt
Filed under: Polycheles typhlops
Lineage: Eukaryota; Metazoa; Arthropoda; Malacostraca; Decapoda; Polychelidae
Description: partial contains 18S rRNA, ITS1, 5.8S rRNA
Rfam family: 5.8S ribosomal RNA (bases 566-619)
Source: RNAcentral